This 449-nucleotide ribosomal RNA is filed under the name uncultured bacterium. Its description in RNAcentral is "partial 16S ribosomal RNA". It matches the Rfam family "Bacterial small subunit ribosomal RNA", at positions 29 to 523 of the family's 1533-position model. The record is from RNAcentral.
AACGAACGCUGGCGGCAUGCCUAACACAUGCAAGUCGAACGAGAUCUUCGGGUCUAGUGGCGCACGGGUGCGUAACGCGUGGGAAUCUGCCCUUUGGUUCGGAAUAACAGUUGGAAACGACUGCUAAUACCGGAUGAUGACGAAAGUCCUAAGAUUUAUCGCCAGAGGAUGAGCCCGCGUAGGAUUAGCUAGUUGGUGUGGUAAAGGCGCACCAAGGCGACGAUCCUUAGCUGGUCUGAGAGGAGGAUCAGCCACACUGGGACUGAGACACGGCCCAUACUCCUACGGGAGGCAGCAGUGGGGUAUAUUGGACAAUGGGCGAAAGCCUGAUCCAGCAAUGCCGCGUGAGUGAUGAAGGCCUUAGGGUUGUAAAGCUCUUUUACCCGGGAUGAUAAUGACAGUACCGGGAGAAUAAGCUUCGGCUAACUCCGUGCCAGCCGCCGCCGUAA